Molecule: ribosomal RNA, 610 nt
Filed under: Aalborgiella aggregata (SeqCode)
Lineage: Bacteria; Pseudomonadati; Pseudomonadota; Betaproteobacteria; Burkholderiales; Comamonadaceae
Description: bacterial SSU rRNA
Rfam family: Bacterial small subunit ribosomal RNA
Source: RNAcentral
GAACUAUAGAGUUUGAUCCUGGCUCAGAUUGAACGCUGGCGGCAUGCCUUACACAUGCAAGUCGAACGGCAGCACGGGAGCAAUCCUGGUGGCGAGUGGCGAACGGGUGAGUAAUAUAUCGGAACGUGCCCAGUCGUGGGGGAUAACGCAGCGAAAGUUGUGCUAAUACCGCAUACGAUCUAUGGAUGAAAGCGGGGGAUCGCAAGACCUCGCGCGAUUGGAGCGGCCGAUAUCAGAUUAGGUUGUUGGUGAGGUAAAAGCUCACCAAGCCUGCGAUCUGUAGCUGGUCUGAGAGGACGACCAGCCACACUGGAACUGAGACACGGUCCAGACUCCUACGGGAGGCAGCAGUGGGGAAUUUUGGACAAUGGACGAAAGUCUGAUCCAGCAAUGCCGCGUGCAGGACGAAGGCCUUCGGGUUGUAAACUGCUUUUGUACAGAACGAAAAAGUCUUUAAUAACACUAGAGGCUCAUGACGGUACUGUAAGAAUAAGCACCGGCUAACUACGUGCCAGCAGCCGCGGUAAUACGUAGGGUGCAAGCGUUAAUCGGAAUUACUGGGCGUAAAGCGUGCGCAGGCGGUUAUAUAAGACAGAUGUGAAAUCCCCGG